Molecule: ribosomal RNA, 460 nt
Filed under: uncultured bacterium
Lineage: Bacteria
Description: partial 16S ribosomal RNA
Rfam family: Bacterial small subunit ribosomal RNA
Source: RNAcentral
CCUACGGGAGGCAGCAGUGAGGAAUAUUGGUCAAUGGACGCAAGUCUGAACCAGCCAUGCCGCGUGCAGGAAGACGGCUCUAUGAGUUGUAAACUGCUUUUGUACGAGGGUAAACGCAGAUACGCGUAUCUGUCUGAAAGUCUCGUACGAAUAAGGAUCGGCUAACUCCGUGCCAGCCGCCGCGGUAAUACGGAGGAUUCAAGCGUUAUCCGGAUUUAUUGGGUUUAAAGGGUGCGUAGGCGGUCGGAUAAGUUAGAGGUGAAAUCCCGAGGCUCAACUUCGGAAUUGCCUCUGAUACUGUUCGGCUAGAGAGUAGUUGCGGUAGGCGGAAUGUAUGGUGUAGCGGUGAAAUGCUUAGAUAUCAUACAGAACACCGAUUGCGAAGGCAGCUUACCAAGCUACUUCUGACGUUGAGGCACGAAAGCGUGGGGAGCAAACAGGAUUAGAUACCCGAGUAGUC